CGAAUUACCACUCCAUAUAUAACAAUAGCCUACCUUGAUCUGUGCUCAGUGCAGUGUCUGUCCAUGGUGUGGAAGUCAGAGGGAGACGCAGCAUUAGUUUUCGCGUUCUGCCUGUUAACAGUUUGCAUACAGGGUUAUAACCUACCUUUGCAUAACUUUUACUAAUUUGAGGAGAAUGGCAUUUUAUUUAAUGUGUGCAUAUAAUAAAAAUAAAUGAAUAAUAGGAGACUGAGCAGAACAAGCACAAAACACUAAUAUCUGUCUUUCCUGCAGUUCCAGAGAGAUUUUAAGGGUGAGAUUUCAUGGAACUAUAAAGGAGCCUCACCCAUUUGUCCUCACUGUUUGGCGAGGGGGGCGGGGGAGGGGGGGGGGGGUGCUUGUUUGUUUUAAAGAACAAAUAAACCUGUAGUUCAGAGUGGAAUAUUUUCACUGGGGUGUCAGACAAGUGCCAGUUUCAGCACAAGAGGAGAAAUAAGACCACAUGGCCGGGAACAAAGCAGGGGAGUGAGGCUGCUUCCCCAAUCAGCAGUGGCAAGCUGUCAAACUGGCUCAACUGUUGUGUGAAAUCUCAAGCUAAAAGAGGAUUUAGAUCCUUCAGUAAAGGUGACAGCACUCCAGGGACAUUACUCAUCUGAAGCUAGGAACAAGGAGACCUAAGCCUGGUGCUCCUGAUCCAAAUAACAGUCUUCUCAGCUGAGAGUACUUGUACUGGCACCCAUGGACAUCAUGCUGUACUGACUUCCUGUGAGUACUUGAGAAAACACUUAAAAUCAGGUAUAAAUAAAUGCAAGAAUUAACUGAAUUAACUCA
Molecule: long non-coding RNA, 810 nt
Filed under: Anas platyrhynchos platyrhynchos (common mallard)
Lineage: Eukaryota; Metazoa; Chordata; Aves; Anseriformes; Anatidae
Description: lncRNA (ENSAPLG00000028138.1)
Source: RNAcentral